CUUAGAUUGCUGUCAAAGAAGGAGAUCGUUGAAGGAGCCUGGUCUGCCAUACAGCCCAAAUACAUGGUCUUCCAUACAGCCCAUAUCAGUAGCUCCGGGAGAGAAACCUCUUGUGCAUGAAUCUCAUAGCAGACAGGAACCAGAAACUCCUUCUGAUUUUGUCGGCAGAGGAGCCUUGAGCCAGCCCUGUGGACCUGUGUGUUCAGAUUGCAAUGAAGACAACAGCACCCAGGCACCAGAUUUAUUCUUCUUUCCAAGCUUGACCCAAGAAUUGAGAGCUACAGGAAGGCAAGGCUAAGGAAAACAACUCUAAUCAGAAUUCUUCAGGUAGGGUUUUGGUUGAUGUAUUGCAACUACAGAGAAGAAAACAGAAGAACCUCUUAAGUUAGAAACUACUGAUAAUCCAAGUGACCAGGAAAUAGUUAAGAAACCAACACUGCAUUUAUCUCAGGAUUAAAAGCUGCCCUUCUGAGGAGGUUAAAGAUACUUCUUCAACUGCAACACUUAGAAAAAAAAAGACAUACCAAGAAAUUAAUUUUCUCUUCCCUUUGAAAGCGUUCCCAUCUUCACUGUCUAUGAGUCUCUUUUAUACCUGAGGGAAAAGAGUGCUUUAGCUGUGCUUUGGUAAUCCUUAGAUUCAUCAUAAUUACAAAGAGUUUAAAAAGAAAAACAUGGUGACUUGCUCUUACAUACAAAAAUUAGAACUGGUGUGAGAGCUCACCCACAGCAUUACUACUGGGCUCUCAGCUGACUUCGUCCUCCAGUUGAGGCCACAUCCCCUUCUCUCUCAUCAAGGUAAGGGAAACACUGACAAAAAGGAAGAUGGAGAAAAAAGAGAGAAGGG
This 844-nucleotide long non-coding RNA is filed under the name Coturnix japonica (Japanese quail). RNAcentral's name for it is "lncRNA (ENSCJPG00005018072.1)". Lineage: Eukaryota; Metazoa; Chordata; Aves; Galliformes; Phasianidae. The record is from RNAcentral.